GGGCGAGCAGCGCGCCGUGGGCAGGCAUCCCAAAUCCGCCUCUUCUCCAGCUCCAUCCUGCCAUCCCUCACUCUUCCUCGCCUCCUCUCUCCUCUCCCCCGCCUGUGAAACAAGAAGGCUUUGUCUGCUCGCCCCGUUCGGAGCAGCACAAACGGCCUGAACUUUCCCUGAGUGAGUUUUUCCCCUCCAGCAGGAUUUUGUGCUGUGCCGAUGCCAGGGAUUAACUAAGAGCAUGACUCAACCAACCAGUUCAGACCAAGCAAGAACAACUCUUCGUUUUUCUUCCAAGGCUCUGGCUCAGCCCAGCACAGGCUGUUCUGGAGCAUCAGAAAAGGGUAGUUAACUUGAAAUAUGACUUUUUAAAUCCUUUAUUACUUUUCCUGUUCUUUGUGUUGCAGCUGGUAUGGGAGGAUGAUGGGAAUGCAAUCAAGGAGACCAUUCCAAGGUAGUUUUUCCCUACAUUUUCUGUCUGAUUUCAAGGUUUCCCUGUGAGACCCUGGCAUGUAUUUGACAGAAGUGACAUGAGCAGGGGAUGGAUAUGAACAUUUUCAGGAAGGAUGAGAUCCCCAGAAUCUCCAUAGAUCCACAGAACCAUGGAAUCGUAAAGAAAAGACAUCUAAGGUCGUUGAGUCCAGUCUUAACCUAGAAUUAAAUCCACCACUAAACCCCAUCCCAUGGCUGGGCAGGGUCGCACUGGGGGCUGGAGCUGCCCUUUGGGAUCGAAGCUGCCAUUUUCAUGGGAAGCACCAUCAGUGUUGUGUUUUUCCUUGCUGUCCUAGAGCUGCUUCCAAGCCUGAGAGUCCCAAUGCUGCCAGGAGCUCACCAGGAACAACCUGCACUGCUGAGGAUUGUCCAGGGGAAAGAGCCAGACCAGUUCAGGAUUGCGCCAGACCUGCGAGGGCAACCCAGGGAGAACAGCUCCAAAGCACCGUGGAGGUGGGAAAUCACCUCCUCAUCCACCUGCAACAGGCUCCAGAGUCAGGAGUGUCCCGAGGGGAGCUCUGGAAAAAGUCUCCUGAAGGAAACUUUCUGCUUCCAAACAACCAGCGCUUUCUGUUCAGCAGUGACCUCAGUGGGAAGAAAAAUUGCUGCACAAAAGGGAUGGGGAGCUGAUGCCAGGAGCAAAACCUCGGCGCUCGUCCCACGAGCAGUUCUGGGUGGGACCAGACAAAGCGUUCUUCAGAGCUUUUGUAAAAGUAGUGGAAUAAAAAUCCAGAUCAAAAAUCUGGGGUGGGUUUUUUGGGUUUUUUUGUGGAGCUUUGAGGUUUUGUUGUUGUUGUUUGGGUUCUUUUUGGUUUUGGGGUUUUUUUUUUGUUGUUGUUGUUGUUGUUGUUGGGGUUUUUUUGAGAACUCUAGAGCACAGUUGGUUUGGACCCCCUACACCAGAACCUUCCCAGCUUCCUGGCUUGACCUUUACAGCAAUAGCAUCCAGAUCUUUUCCAUUUCUUCAUCUCUCUGGGCUCCUUUUGCUCACUCAUGUUAACUGGAAAAGCAGUACCACAAUAAAUAAACCCUGCAAGAAUCCUGAGGGCCUCA
RNAcentral lists this long non-coding RNA (1536 nucleotides) under Cyanistes caeruleus (blue tit). Its description in RNAcentral is "lncRNA (ENSCCEG00000001453.1)". Lineage: Eukaryota; Metazoa; Chordata; Aves; Passeriformes; Paridae. The record is from RNAcentral.